Molecule: long non-coding RNA, 529 nt
Filed under: Ananas comosus (pineapple)
Lineage: Eukaryota; Viridiplantae; Streptophyta; Magnoliopsida; Poales; Bromeliaceae
Description: long non-coding RNA (ACOM_LNC023963)
Source: RNAcentral
AAAAAAAUCUUAUUAGUAUUGUCGAUUAAUUUGAUGUGCAAUAACUUAUUAGGCUCAAACCAUCAGUCUAAAAAUACUUAAAUUUAGUUAUUAUACAAGUGUUCAUGAUCUUUUACAUACUCAAUCACAGUCAUAUUUCUCAUUCAAUGUGGAACUAUUUAGUGUCUCAUAAACCCCUUCCGUUAGGCUCUGACAUACUCGUCAGCCAAAUCGCACACACAAUUCAAAAUCACCAGCUAAUGUGAGACUUGUCUUGCUAGUCUUGUUAUUCUGGUUCCUGCGUAUCAUAUCAUUUUCAUAUUCUGGCUCAACCAAAAUGUAUACACACUUUCGACUGGUGAUUGGCUCCAGUACGAAAUAUAUAUAUCGACAUGAUCCGUUAGCAAUAAUAAUUUAUUAAGUCCAAACCAUCCGACCAAAAUAUUUAAAUCUGGUUAUUAUUAUUAGUGUUCAUGAUCUUUUAUAUAUCCAAUCACAAUCAUAUUUUUAUCCGACGUGGCCAUGUGGGGCUAAUAAGUAUUGCAUAAAU